Molecule: transfer RNA, 72 nt
Filed under: Wolbachia endosymbiont of Atemnus politus
Lineage: Bacteria; Pseudomonadati; Pseudomonadota; Alphaproteobacteria; Rickettsiales; Anaplasmataceae
Description: tRNA-Thr
Rfam family: tRNA
About the family: Transfer RNA (tRNA) molecules are approximately 80 nucleotides in length. Their secondary structure includes four short double-helical elements and three loops (D, anti-codon, and T loops). Further hydrogen bonds mediate the characteristic L-shaped molecular structure. tRNAs have two regions of fundamental functional importance: the anti-codon, which is responsible for specific mRNA codon recognition, and the 3' end, to which the tRNAs corresponding amino acid is attached (by aminoacyl-tRNA synthetases). tRNAs cope with the degeneracy of the genetic code in two manners: having more than one tRNA (with a specific anti-codon) for a particular amino acid; and 'wobble' base-pairing, i.e. permitting non-standard base-pairing at the 3rd anti-codon position.
Source: RNAcentral
GCCUUGGUAGCUUAACAGGUAGAGCACCCAACAUGUAAUUGGAAGAUCCGGGUUCAAGUCCCGGUCAAGGCA